GUUCGCAUAGUGUAGUGGUUAUCACGUUCGCCUCACAUCACAACAUGUGACCCGCGAAAGGUCCCAGGUUCGAAACCUGGUGCGAACA
This is a transfer RNA of Verticillium longisporum, 88 nucleotides long. It matches the Rfam family "tRNA". From Rfam's summary of the family: Transfer RNA (tRNA) molecules are approximately 80 nucleotides in length. Their secondary structure includes four short double-helical elements and three loops (D, anti-codon, and T loops). The record is from Rfam. Lineage: Eukaryota; Fungi; Ascomycota; Sordariomycetes; Glomerellales; Plectosphaerellaceae.